AUGGAGCGGUUCGAGAGAGAGAGGAUUGGAGAAUGGCUCGGUCGAGUGUUGAGGUGGGGCGGUGCUCGCGGUCUGAGUUGUAGUGAACGUCGUUGCUGGAAACGAUUGGAGCAGUGGAAUUUGGAUAAGACAACGAUUGGGUCUUGUGAGGUUACCGAGUUUGCAGGAGAAUUUGGCUUGGGAUCACAAAGCAAUGACUGGAUAGAAGUGAGAAUUGCAGCUACAUCAUAUAGGACUCCACCGAUUUGCAAUAUAUCCAGGCAAAUGCUUCCAUCAGCAUAA
Molecule: non-coding RNA, 282 nt
Organism: Vicia faba (fava bean)
Lineage: Eukaryota; Viridiplantae; Streptophyta; Magnoliopsida; Fabales; Fabaceae
Source: the annotation of a GenBank genome assembly